GAGAGCGGAAGUGGCGUUGGUCUGGCCGGAGCCCUUGGGUGGAUUUGUUAGGCGUGGAGAGGGAGUGAUGUCUUCCAGGCUCGGUGCAGUACCCGCCGUGAGUUUCUCGGUUUGACCGUUAUGUUUUAGGGGUAGCGCUGUCGAGCCCGCAACACGCGGUCCCUCGCUUUUGUGCCAUGCUCAGAGUUGGUUUUAUCAGAGCCCAUCGUAGGCCCCACCCUUCUAGGUCAGAUCUACCUGUCUCCCUUUUUCCCCCCAGUUACCGCUGACUGUUCCCACCUCCUUGGACUCAGUUCUUCGCUAGAUUGCCAUUAGUUUCUAUUUCUUUUAUAUCCCCAGUACCUCCCAUAUCCGUUGUCCUCUCUUUUCGCCUCCCUUUUAGAGCCUCUAUCUGGGACGGGGCUUUGAGAAUGGGGAAGAUGAAGGCUAUGGUGUUGUCACCUGCCUUGGCUGGGUAGGAAGACAGGACGACACGCUUUUCCAAAAAAGUCUUGCUUUCUUCCGUUGGAGGUAGUUGCCCCGGGAGAGCUUCAUUUCUUCUGGGCACAGGGGGAUUCGUCUUUUUGUGGUCAAGGUUCAGCGGUCCCUAGCAUUCACUCAUGUGCUUGCGAUUUGCUAGACUCCGGAACCCACAUCCUUUAAGCACCAGAGGAGCACGAAGAUCGUGGGAGCUAAGAAGUAAGUGAGAUUUUCUGGGGUCCAUUUAUAAUUGUGUCGCCAGCGCUGUCCAAUGGAACUUUUGUGAUGAUGAAAAUGUUCUGUAUUCCCGCUGUAAAGGACCGUAGCCACGUAUGGCUUUUGAGCACUUGAAAUGUGGCCAGUGUGAUUGAGGAACUGAAUUUUAAAUUGUAUUUGAUCUUAACUUAAAUUUAAAUAGCCACCUAUAGUUAGUGCCUACCUUGAUUGGACAGUGCGGGUCUAAACCUAAUGUAGGGGAGAAGAACCUAGCUUGCAAAGAAAAGCACGAAUUAUAUUAAAAAUGGAAGGUAUGACCUAGUGUAGCCUCGCAUAUCCUCAGACAACAAGUAUGUACUCAUGAAUACAUUGAUGAACAUGGGAAGGAUUGAUAAAAAUGCCUGGAAGAAAUCCUUUUCUUUUCAGACUGCUUGGCUUUAAGACUGGUUUAUUACUUUGUAGACCGAAUGUGCUAACCUUUUUCAUAUUUGUUAUUACAAAAUAGAUUCUUAUUAACUAGAUAUUCACUGAAAGGGUUAAUUCAUUCAGAUAACAUUUACUAAAUAUCUGGUAUGUGCCAGCUCUGUAGUAGGUUAGAUACACAGGCAAGAAAAACACAGAACUAAUAAUCCAGAAGGGAAGAUAGGCAAGUACAUCAACAUGAUACAGUGUAAUUAAAUAUUUUUAAACAGGAAUUUAAUAAUAGCAUUUAGGGAGGGGGAGUGAUAGUUCAGAAGGGAAGAGUUGCCAGAGCAAAUCACUUCUAAACAGACUUGAAAGUCAAGAAAUAAUGCAGUUAGCGUAAGGAAAAGGUAUUUUUCAUAGAGACAGAAUGUGAACAGGUGAAAGCAUUUAAUGGAAUAAUAAGUGGGUAAUUGCUAAGAGAUAUAAAGAAUAAUAGGUCCUCAUCUAUUAAUCUGAGUCAGAAUCAUUGGAGUUAGGGUAUAGGAAUCCUUAUUUUUAACUGACUUUAUAGGAGAUUGUGAAGUUUGAGAACCAUUGGGGAGAAGUGAGACUAGAAGAGACUACAGGAUGAAACCCUGGAGAAUGUCAGCAUUUAAGGAUUGGGUAGAAUGAAGGGAGGCAGCAAAAGAAACUGAGAUGAACCAAAAUAAUUUUCUAAUGAAAUCUAAGUAGUUGCACCUAGAGAAUGAACUACGGUCUUGUAAAAAUUUUUGGUAGAUCGGAGAGGAGUCCAAAAUAGGUUAAACUUUUCUUCCUUGUGAUUAGAAGCUGAGACUGAAAAGUAAUGCCACAGACAACAAAUUAUAAAGUCACUACAAUUAUGAUCAUACUGUUUGAACUUUUUCUUGCCAUAGUUAUGGUAAGGGAAGUUUGAGAUUAAUUGGAGUUUUUGCAAGUAACCAAAUACCCUCAUUGGACAAGUAUUGUAAAAUACUUGAUAAUUGGUUUUGGUGAGUCCUCUAAAAAUAAGAGGCCUAGAGGGAGGGGUUCUCUAACCACAUUGACUUAAUUCCCAAGAUGCUAAUCAUGCUGAUCACGUGCUUGUACUUAUUCGUGAGACGGGAUAUGCGUCUGAGUCCUACACUGACCGUAAAGAAAUUCCUAUGAGGACAGUUUACUAAGAGGAGUCACAUGGGACUUGACUCUUAAUGGCUUGUUGAUACUUUCAAGUCUUCCUGGUAGAGAUUGGUCCCAUUGUUUUGGAGGGUGGGUUUUGGCGCAGAGGACUGCCAAUUCUUAUUAAAAAAAAUUUUUUUUAAUACUUUUAUUGAGGUAUCAUUGAAGUACAAGAUACCAUACAUUUACAUAUUACAUACCCACAGUUUACAUAUUUAAAGUAGACAGUAUGAUCAACGUUGACAUUUGUAAAUAACCAUAACACUGUCAGCACAAUCAAGAUAACAUUUCCAUUUCUCCCAGAAGUUUUUGUGUAAUCCGUUCCUUCCUCUGCUCCUGUUCUGGACACCACCGACCUUUUUCUGUCACCGUACAGUGGUUUGCAUGUAUAAAUGCAAAUCAUAUAGUAUGUUUUUUAUAUAAAUGAAAUUUUAUAUAAGUUAUUUUAUAUAAAUGAAAUCAUAUAGUAUGUUUUCUUUUUGCAUGAUUUCUUUCACUCAAUAUAAUAAUUUUUGACUGAAAAUUAGUUUUUAUUGCUGAAUAGAAUUCCAUUAUGGAUAUACCAUGAUUUGUUUAGCUAUCUACCUUGAUGGACAUUUGGCUAAUUUUAUUUUGGGGGUAUUAAAGCUGCUGUGAACAUCCACAUACAAGUCUCUGUGUGGAAAAAUGUUUUUUCUCUCUUGAUCAAUGCCUACGAUGGUAUUUAUUUACUAAGAUAUACCAUUUUAGGUUGGUUGGGCCAUAUGUCAGGAUUAUGUUUACCUUUUUAAGAAAUUACCUGUUUUCCAAAUUGGUGGUAUUAUUUUAUAUACCAGCAGUAUAUGGGAAUAAGCCUUAAAUUUUGGCCAAUUUUAUGGGUGUAGAGUGGUGUUUCAUUGUGAUUUUGAUUUGCAUUUUCCUGAUGAAUAAUGAUGUAGAACAUCUGUUCAUGUGCUUAUUAGCCAUUCAUGUAUCUUCUGCAAAGUGCCUGUUCGUAUCUUUUGCCCAUUUAAAAAGUUGAGUUGUUUGUCUUACUAUGGAAUUGUAGUAUUUUUAAAAAUUCUGUUCUGAGUACAGUUCCUUUAUCUGAUAGAUGUAUCUUGAAUAUUUCCUUCCAGUCUCUGGUUUGCAUUUCAUUUUUUAAUUGUGUCUUUUGAAGACCAAAAAUUAUAAAUUUAUCAUUAAAAAUGAUUAAAAUGUUAUUAUUUUUUCCCUUAUCCUUCCUGCUUUUUGUAUUCUGUUGAGGAAACUUUGCCAUCCCUAAUUGCAAAGAUUUUCUCCUUUGUUUUUUCUAGAAGUUUUCUAGGUUUUACAUUUAGGUCUGUGAUACAUUUAGAGCUAAUUUUUUGUGCAUGGUGUGUCAUAAGAAUCAAUGUUAAUUUCUUUUUAUUAUUUAUCCUGUUGUUAAUACUUCCCUUUCCCUAUUCAAUUACAUUGGCACCUUUGUCAGAAAUUAUUUGAAUAUAUAUAUGUGUGGGUCUGUUUCUGGACUCCUUAUUCUGUUCCACUGAUGUAUGUAUCUAUCUUUUUGCCAAUACUAAACUGUCUUGUAGGAUUAGAGUAAAUCUUGAAAUCAGAUAGGAGAAGUCAUCUAACUUUAUUGUUCUUUUUUAAAAUUUUUUUUAGCUAUUCUAGGUUCUUUGUCUUUUUAUAUAAAUUCUAGAGUCAGUUUAUCAGUUUCUAUAAAAAGAAGCAUGCUAAAGUAUUGAUUGGUAUUAUAUGGAAUCAGUAGACCAAUUGGGGAGAGUUGCCAUUUUAACAAUACUGAGAUUUCUGAUUUAUGAACAUGGUAUAUUUUUCUGUUUAUUUAGAUCUUUAACUUCUCUCACCAGCAUGAUGUAGUUUUCAUUAUAAAAUCUUGGUUAUCUUUUGUUAGAUUUGUUCUUAGGUAUUUUAUGUGUUUUUCAUGUUAUUAUAAAUGAUACUAUUUUUAUAAGUUCAUUUCUAGUUUGUUGUUGCUGGUAUCUAAGAAUACGAUUGAUUUUAUGUGUUAACCUUCCUUGUGUCCUGACACUUGCUUAAUUCAUUUUUAGUUCUAGUAGUUUUUCUAUUUUUUGAGAUUUUCUUUGUAAACAAACAUAUAAUCUGCAAAAAGGGGCAGUUUUCUUUUCUCCUUUUUUGAUCUUUAUGCCUCCUCCUCCCCUUUAAAAAGGUUAAAAGGGUGCCUAGGUGUCUCAGUCGAUUAAGUGUCCAGCUGGUGAUUUCUGCUCAUGUCAUGAUCUCAGAGGUUCCAGAUAUUGAGCCCUGAGUUGGGCUCUGUGCUGAUAGCAAGGAGCCUGCCUGGGAUCCUCUCUCUCACUCUCUCUCUGCUCCCCCCCCCCCCCCAUAAACAAAUAAACUUAAAAAAUAAAAAAUAUAUAUAUAAAGGAAAAAACCUUAUUGCAGUGGUAUUCAACAGUGGAAUCAACCAUUCUGGGUCUAGGGGUUUCUUUUUGGGAAAUUCUAAUGAUAAAUUAAAUUUCUUUAAUAGAUCUAGAGCUUUUUAGAGUUCCAGUUUCAUGUUAUGUCAGGCUCGAUGCAGGGCUCAACCUCACAAACCGAGAUCAUGACCUGAGCCAAAAUCAAGAGUUGGGUGCUUAACUGACUGAGCGACCCAGGUGCCCCAACAAUCUGACUUUAAUUGGAGUGUUGAGACCAUAAACAUUUAUUUAUUUAUUUAUCCAUCUAUUUACUUAUUUUUAAAGUUUAUUUAUUUAUUUAUUUAUUUAUUUAUUUGAGCAAUCUCUACACCCAAUGGUUAGAACUCAUGACCCGAAAAUCAAGAGUUGCAUGCUCUUCUGACUGAGCCAGCCAGGUGUCCUGACCAUAAACAUUUAAAUUAAUUAUUGAUAUGGUUAGAUUUAGGUUUGUUAUUUUAUUAUUUGUUCUCUGUACCCUAUUUUUUUGUUCCUUUAUAAAUUAUUUUGUUUUUAAUUUUUUUUUUAGUCUUUAUUUAUUUUUGAGAGAGAGAGAGAGAGAGAGAGAGAGACAGAGGGCAAGCAGGAGAGGAACAGAGAGAGAAGGAGACACAGAAUCUGAAGCAGGCUCCAGGCUCUGAGCUGUCAGCACAGAGCCCAAUGCGGGGCUUGAACUCACAAAGUGUGAGAUCAUGACCUGAACCGAAGUCAGACGCUUAACCGACUGAGCCACCCAGGCACCCCUAUACCUUAUUUUGGAUUAUUUAAAUAUUUACUGUCUGAUUUUAGUUUAUAUAUUUAAUUUUUGCUGUUUUCUUUCUUUUUUCUCUUUCUUUCUCUUGUGUGUAGUACUUGCUUUAGGAUUUACAGUAUACAUAUCUGUCGUUUCAUAGGCUACUUAGAGUUUGCGUACUACCACCUUGCUUAAAUGUAAAUGCCUUACAACCAUGUAGAUUCCUUAACCCGGUCUGCUGACCAUUAAGUUAUAGCUGUCAUAUGUAUUACAUCUACCUAUGUUGAAAACCUUGCCAGAUAAUGUUAAAGUUUUGUUUUAAAGAGGGUUUUUGGGUUUUUUUUUUUUUUAAAUAUGUUUACCCAUUUCUUUUGUUCUUUCUUCAUUCUUAAAAACCUAGCUUUCUGGUAUCAUUUUCCUUCAGCUAGAAUAAUCUCCUUUAGCAUUUCUCAUAGAGCAGGUCUGCUGACAACAAAUUUUCUUUUCUUUUUUUUUUUUUUCAUCUGAAGAAGUAUGCCUAAAGGAUAUUUUCAUGGAAUACAGAAUUUCAGAUUGAGAAAUUUUUUCUCUCAAGAUUUUAUUUUUUUUUAUUUAAAAAAAUUUUUUUUAACAUUUAUUUAUUUUUGAGACAGAGAGUGGCAGAGUAUGAAUGGGGGAGGGUCAGAGAGAGAGGGAGACACAGAAUCUGAAACAGGCUCCAGGCUCUGAGCUGUCAGCACAGAGCCCGAUGCAGGGCUCGAACUCACGGACCGCGAGAUCAUGACCUGAGCCGAAGUCGGACACUUAACCCUGAGCCACCCUGGGGCCCCAAGAUUUUAAAGAUGUUACACUGUUUUCUGUUCUCUUUGGUUUCUUUUUUUUUUUUUUUUUAAGUUAAAAGAAAAUCUUUUUAAUGUUUAUUUAUUUUUGGGAGAGAGCGCACUAGCAGGGGAGAGGCAGAGGGAGUGGGGGACAGAGUAUCAGAAGCAGGCUUUGUGCUGACAAGCAGAGAGCCUGAUGCAGGGCUUGAACUCACAAACCAUGAGAUCAUGACCUGAGCUGAAGUUGGACACUUAACCAACUGAGCCACUCAGGCGUGCCUGUUCUCUUUGGUUUCUAUUCAAAGUUUUGUGGUCAUUCAAAUCAUUGAUGUAUAUAUAUACACACACAUACAUAUGUAUACAUAUGUACAUAUGCAUAUACAGAAAUAUAAUGUUAUUUUUUUAAAUUGCUUUCUAGAUUUUUUUUUUAACAUUCGGUUUUGAAAUUUUUCAUUAAGAUGUAUCUGGGUGUAUUUUUCUUCGAGUUUAUUUUCUCAAGUGUUUGUUGAGCUCCUAGGAUCUGUAAAUUAAUGUCUCAUUAAUUUUGGGUGAUUUUCCACCAUUAUUUUUUUCAAAUGUAUUUUCAUGCCACAGACUUUUUUCCUUUCCUUUUGGGAUUAUGGCUACACUUAAGUUAGACAUUUUGAUGUUGACCCACAGGUUGUUGGGGCUCUGCUGAGUGUUUUUCAGUCUUUUUUCUCUUUGUUCUUCAGAUCGGUUAAUUUCUAUUGAUCUGUCUUCAAGUUCACAGGCUCUUUCCUUUUUCAUCUCCAUCCUGUUAUUGAGCCCAUUCUGUUUUUAUUUCAAAUACUGUAUUUUUAGUUCUAAAAUUUCAGUUCUUUUUUUUUUUUUUUUUUUUGGUUUCUGUUUUCUGCUGAUAAUUCCUAUCUUUUCCUUCACUUCAAGUGUGUUUUCCUUUAUUUCAUGAAACAUAGUUAUAAUAGCGUCUUUAAAUCUUUGGUAGUUCUAACUUCUGGAUCAUCUUGGGGUGACAUUUGUUUGUUAUCUGUUCCUUUCAGAAUUAUUCACAUUUUACUGGUUCUUUGUAUAUUGCAUAAUUUUGGAAUUUAUUCCUAAUAUUGUGAAUGUUAUUUGUAUAGACUUUGGGUCCUUUUAGAAUCUUCUGGGAGAUCAUUGCUGUUUUGUUUUAUUUAAAAAAUUUUUUUUAAUGUUUAUUUUUGAGAGAGAGACAGAAUACUAGCAGGGGAGGGACAAAGAGAAAAGGAGACAGAAUCCAAAGCAGGCUCCAGGCUCUGAGCUAUUAGCACAGAACCCGAUGCAGGGCUUGAACUUAUGAACUGUGAGAUCAUGACCUGAGCUGAAGUCGGACACCCGACUAACUGAGUCACCCAGGUGCCCCAUCAUUGCUGUUUUUAUUUUAGCAAGUAACCUGUUUACUGUUCAGACCAUAAGUUCUGUCUUGUCUUCUGAGGGUAUUGGUUCAAUCUUAGUUCCAUUAUUAAAAAAAAAAAUUUUUUUUAAUGUUUAAUUUUGAGGGAGGGGAGGGGCAGAGAGAGAGACACACACAAGAAUAUGAAGCAGGCUCCAGGCUCUGAGCUGUCGGCACAGAGCCUGAUGCAGGGCUCAAACUUAAGGACCGUGAAAUCAUGACCUAAGCCGAAGUUGGACACUCAACCAACUGAGCCACCCAGGUGCCCCUUAGUUCCACUCUUCUAAGUCUCUGCUAUGAUAGUUGAAGUCUGUUUUGAAUAGUUUAGUGGUUUGUUGGAGACUUUUUCAGGUGUUUCAAGUCUUGAUUCAUUUCUCCAAGCUUUUGCUACAUUGGAUUGGGUCUGUCUUUCACUAGUAGCUCAGGGGUUAGUCUGAGGCUUGUGCAAUUUGUUAAAAUUUGAAGCCUUUGCUAAACUGGCUUGGGUCUGCUCCACACAUACAUGGCUCAGAUUAAGCUGUGAUUUGUAUGAAUUCAGACAGAAUUAUGCGAUUACCUUCUUUGCAUGUCUCUUCUUCACAGCUCUCUCACACCUUCUGGUCUAUAGAGACCCCUUUUCCUAGUUUCUCUGGUCAGAAAGAGAGUUUUUGUUGGAAUGUAGGCCGCCCAUGCUACUCUACAAAUGGGCCCACCCUUAUUGCAGAGCCACAUGUGAGGGAAAACAAAAAAAAAAGAGGGGGGGGGGGAAACACAUCCCAUGGGAGUCACUUCUCCCAGUUUUGACUUCUCUCCACAAUCCACCUGCUUUGUUUUCUUUUCAGAAUCUAGGAUUUUUAGUUGUAAUAAGCAGGAGGGAUGGGCUGUAGAGGGCUUAUGCACCAUGGCUGAAUCAAGACUUUGCUGUAUUAAAUUUGUAAUUUUGGAUCUCAUGUGCAGAGAAGUGAAAAUCAUUCUUCCCUGCUCAGAGUAUACUGACAUCAUCAGUCCCUAUUAUUUUUUGUUUUACCUGUUUCCAUUUCCAUCUCCUUCCAGAGACAACCAUGUUAGCAAGUGUGACAUUUGUCCUUAAAUAUUUAUGAAUCUUUGUAAAAUAGCUAGUGCUGUUUACAUGUGUAUUUGUUUUUAAUUUACCAAAUUGACAUUAGUCUUGUUCUGUUUCUUCUGUCAUUCAACAGUAUGCUUUUUGGUUAUGUUCAUGUCUCUAUGUGUAGAAAUGGUUUAUUGCUUCUAACAACUACAUAGUAUUCCAUAGUAGACAUGUAUCACAUUUUACUUACAUAUUUCUUAUGAAUGGUCACCUAGGGGCACCUGGGUGGCUUAGUAGGUUAAGUGGCCAACUCUUGAUUUUGGCUGAGGUCAUGAUCUCACAGUUCACGAGAUUGAGCCCCACAUCGGUCUCUGUGCUGACGGCAUGCCUGCUUGGGAUUCUUUCUCUCCCCCUCUCUCUCAGGACCGCUUUUGUGCCUAUGUUCACACUCUCUCUUUCGAAAUAAAUAAGUAAACAUUUAAAGUAUUAUAUUGAAUCUGCCAAUUUACGUCUACUACAAAACCUUAGUUCAAGUCCUUAUCAUCUCUUAUCUAUUCUAUUACAAUAAACUGCUACCUCUUCUCCCUUUAUACACUUUUCCUCCAUGGGUCAUCUAAUGUAUAGCAUCCAGAGUGAUCUUUCUGAACCAUAAACCUAACACAUGCCUCACACAGAUCUUUAGCUGGAGAAGGAUGUCUCAGAGGUUCUCGGACCACACUUUUUUUUUUUUUCCAAUGUUUAUUUAUUUUUGGGACAGAGAGAGACAGAGCAUGAACAGGGGAGGGGCAGAGAGAGAGGGAGACACAGAAUCGGAAACAGGCUCCAGGCUCUGAGCCAUCAGCCCAGAGCCCGACGCGGGGCUCGAACUCACGGACCGCGAGAUUGUGACCUGGCUGAAGUCGGACACUUAACCGACUGCGCCACCCAGGCGCCCCCGGACCACACUUUUGAGAACUGCUGCUCCUCUGUGCAUUCUGAGCCUCCUAGAAGAUAACUUUGUAAUUACUCAGUCAUGUUUGUUAACUACAUAGUGACUGGUCUUAAAUUUGGGAAUUUGGAUCCAGCUGUGUAUCAGACUUGUCUGGCCAGCUUACCUCAGACAAGGCAGCACCCUUCCUUUAACUGUGGGAACUAAGAAUCAUAUUGCCUAAAUAAGACAGGACAGCCCUGACACCAGGUUUAGGGAGGAGGCUAAGGGAGAGGGAAGAUGGAGCAGACUAGAGCCCUACAAACUGUUUUUUUCCUUCUUUAUUCUCAGGGGUACUGUUUAGUUACUGUCCCUCUCUCAGAGAAAUAGAGGUGCCUGGUUACAGAUCCAUGGGAUCUUCUGAAGGGUCGUAGAACAGCCUAUUACUUUGACUACUUUCUUUUCCUGGAUCAAUCUAGGAAAGAAUGCCUACUUGGACUGCAGAGUGAGCACUAAUGUGUACUGCUUUCUCUUAUCACAAUAAAGUAUAAUAAUAAUUUUAUAUGUUGCCUUUGUUCAACCAUUGUAAUUGUUAGAUUACAACCUAAUCCUGUUUUUAUUAUCAGGCUUCUUAGGUUUUGCAUCGGUUACCAACUUCUUAUGAUAUAAAAUAAUUAAUAGGAACUUUACUCGUGGUAUAUAUAUUUGUGUCAUAUUAAUAGCAGGACCCAGUGCUCCAUAAAGGAUAAUAGUUUCCAGUACACUAUUCCUCACGAUGACUCCUUAAGCGGCUCGUCGUCUGCUUCUUCAUGUGAGCCAGUGAGUGAUUUUCCAGCAUCCUUCCGAAAGUCUACCUACUGGAUGAAGAUGAGAAGGGUCAAGGCAGCUGCUGCUUCGCGUGUUGAAGGUACCAGUAUCUCUGCUUUAUUUCAAAGACAGAGCAUUCUCUAGGUAGCUGUUGUAAAUGGUUCUUAAAGUAUUAAGCAUCACGUAUGUUUCUCACAUCUGUGUUAGGCUGUCACACACUGUUAAGCUUUGUGAACUGUCCUUUUAUUUUAUUUUUUUAGUUUAUUUAUUUAUUUUUUUUAAUUUACAUCCAAAUUAGUUAGUAUAUAGUGCAACACUGAUUUCAGGAGUAGAUUCCUUAGUGCCCCUUAUCCAUUUAGCCCAUCCCCCCUCCCACCACCCCUCCAGUAACCCUCAGUUUGUUCUCCAUAUUUAUGAGUCUCUUCUGUUUUGUCCCUCUCCCUGUUUUUAUAUUAUUUUUGUUUCCCUUCCCUUAUGUUCAUCUGUCUCUUAAAGUCCUCAUAUGAGUGAAGUCAUAUGAUUUUUGUCUUUCUCUGACUAAUUUCACUUAGCAUAACACCCUCCAGUUCCAUCCAUGUAGUUGCAAAUGGCAAGAUUUCAUUCUUUUUGAUUGCCGAGUAAAACUCCAUUGUAUAUAUGUACCACAUCUUCUUUAUCCAUUCAUCCAUCGAUGGACAUUUGGGCUCUUUCCAUACUUAGGCUAUUGUUGAUAGUGCUGCUAUAAACAUGGGGGUGCAUGUGUCCCUUCGAAACAGCACACCUGUAUCCUGUGGAUAAAUGCCUAGUAGUGCAAUUGCUGGGUCGUAGGGUAGUUCUAUUUUUAGUUUUGUGAGGAACCUCCAUACUGUUUUCCAGAGUGGCUGCGCCAGCUUGCAUUCCCAACUGUCCUUUUAUUUUAGAGUGAAAUUCUUACUCCUCUAGGUUAUACGGGUAUCAGCCUUUCCUCUUCAAAUGAUUUGAACUUCUUUCCCAUUAUACCAAUUUCAUCCUCUGUUGACGUUUAGAGGCCUUUAUUAUUCAUGGGGAACAAUUGAUCAGUUGGGAUGGAGAACAGUAAAAAAAUGAAAUGGGGAGGUCGAAUGAGUUAGUGACGUUUUACCAACUUCCCUAAAACUGUCACAGACACUUCUGUGGGGCUUGUGUUUGCUGAUGAUCUGUCCUGUGAUGACCUUGUGAGUGUUUUUUUUUUGUUUUGUUUUUUUUUUUUUGGUGAGUGAUAUUUUGAAGGCUGGCCAGUAUGUUCACUUGUAAGCCAUACUGAGGGUUUUGUUUGUUUGUUUUUGUGUGGUAUUUCAGGGUCAGGUGGAGUAUCAACCAAAGGAAAAAGGAAACCCAGGCAGGAAGAAGAUGAAGACUAUCGAGAAUUUCCUCAGAAGAAGCAUAAGCUUUAUGGUGAGGGAGUAACUUUGCUAAUUCUUUUCCCUUGGGUACCUUGGCUUUAUUCUUCAGGGGUAAAAGGGAGAGAGACCUGAGGUUUUGGCCCUUGGAGCACUGCUGAACCCUUUGAUUUUUUGGCGAGGAAUGGCUUUCAUCCUACCUGACUUUUUUGUUUUUUUCCUGUCAUAACUUUUUUUUUUUUCACAUUUGCUCAUUUUUGAGAGACAGAGAGAGACAGAGCACAAAUGGGGGAGGGGCAGAGAGAGAAGGAGACAUAGAAUCCGAAGCAGGCUCCAGGCUCCGAGCUAUCAGCACAGAGCCCAAUGUGGGGCUUGAACCCACGAACUGCGAGAUCAUGACCUGAGCCGAAGUCGGAUGCUUAACUGGCUGAGCCACCCAGGUGCCCCUAUUAUUUUUAUUUUAUUUUUUUAAAAUAUGGAAUGCUUAUAUGUGCUGCCGAAGCGAGCACUUUUUAAAAAAAUUUUUUUUUUACAUUUAUUCAUUUUUGAGAGACAGAGAUAGAGCACAAAUGGGGGAGGGGCAGAGAGAGAGGGACCCUGUCAUAACUUAAGGGAGACAGUUGGUUGAGGGAGUGGGACAUAGGGUGUUGAGAAGAGAUGGGAGGAAAUUUUGAUAGUAACAGAUUGGAUAGCAAAGGUGAUAUGUUGGGCUUCAAGUUUCUGUCUUGUGUCAGGGAGGAAGCAACGGCCUAAAACUCAACCUAAUCCUAAAUCCCAGGCUCGUCGUAUUCGGAAGGAACCACCAGCUUACGCAGCAGGUAUGUUUUCUGUUGGAAGCUUUGGGGUAUCAAGGUCUUGCACUCUGUUUUUUUUUUUUUUGUUGUUGGUCAAGGAGUGAUGUUAUAAAGAGUUUCUUUAAGGAGGCAGUUAUUAAGGGUAUGGGUUUGGAGGCCAGUCAGACCCGCCUUUAAGUUUUGGCUCUUAACUCAUUUUCUGGUCUGCCUUCAUCUAGUUAACUUCUGCAGGCUUCAGUUACCUUGUCUCUAAAUAGGGAUAAUGAAGGUAGUCAGAAUUUUCAUGGAGACUAAAUGGGGAUAAAAACAUUUAAGAACAUCUCAGACACACAGGAAACAGGAAAUUGGCUGUUAUAUAUCUAAGUAUCCCAUUAUUAUAUGCUGCUGUGAAAAUGUUGCCCCAUUGUUGGUUAUACCUCAGUAAAGCUAGAAAAAAAAAUGUUGCCCAGUUCUUUAAGCUGCUGGGCUUUUGAAUGGUUCUCAGAUGGUUUUUGUCGUGGAGGACUGAGUAGGAGUAUCAGAAACUCCUCAUUGUCUGAAAAAAAAUUACUUCUAGAAAGAGUCUUUUCCCCAGGAAGGAAAAAAAAUGAUACUUUUACUAAAUUCCAGGAAUACGUUUUCUGUUUCUAGAGAAUUCUGCAAAUUAUGAAGUGUUUCUUUCUCUGCUUUGUAGGCAGUUUGGAGGAACAAUGGUACCUAGAAAUUGUGGAUAAAGGCAGUGUCUCCUGUCCUACCUGCCAGGCGGUGGGGAGGAAGACCAUAGAGGGCUUAAAGAAACACAUGGAGACCUGCAAACAGGUUAGAGAUUUUGUGGCGUUUCAUAAGGGUUAUGACCUUUUCCCAUACCUCAGACAACUAUCGCUGUGUCAGUGUGCUGAUUACUGUGGAGAAGCAGCAGCAUUGUGUUACAAGGAAAACAGAGGCUUUAGAGUCUGACAGACUUGGGUUUGAAUCUUCAUUUAGCCACUUACUUGUUGUGUCAUUUAGCUUUUUAUGUGUGAACCUUGGUUUUCUCAUUUAUAUUACAAAUUAUACAAAUAAUUUUAUGUAGUCCCUGAGGGGAUAAGAAAGAAUACAUGCUGAGUGCCCACCCCGUUACUCGGCAAAUGUUGGCACUCAGUAAAUGGUAAUUCUUACUCCUUUAAAAAUCAGUUACUUUUACUUCGUUACCCUUGAGGAUGUGACACUGAGGUUGUGGGGUUUUGAGAUUCUUUGGGUUUGGAAAUAAAGGAGACACAGACGAGAGCAUCCGGGUAGGACUUUGUUACAUUCUGUUUCUCUGUUGAACAACUUGACACUGAGCAGUAUUUCUUCCUGUAGGAAAUGUUUACUUGUCAUCAUUGUGGGAAACAACUUCGUUCACUGGCAGGGAUGAAGUAUCACGUGAUGGCAAAUCAUAAUAGCUUGGUAAGAGUAUCUUCUGUCCUGUAUGAGCCUGUGUGUGUUUGGAUGUCUUUACUUAGAUGAGUGCAGAUAACCCAGUGGAGGUGUCUAAGGCUCUGGGGCUUUAUAGAGGUGUGAGUAAGAAUACCUUUUUGAUAGAAGUCAUGCACAUGAAACCUUUGCGGUGGGUAUUUGUGUGUUUAGGUUAGCCCCAAAGGUUCGUCUCCUGGAAGAUAGAGGCUCUGAGCUCUUAUUUGCAUUACAUUUGCUUCCUUGUCUGUCUAGGAGAAGAGGGAGAAAGCCAGGAGUCAGAUAACUAAGCUUCAUGGGCAUCGGCUUAGGUGCUAGUCCAGUCCUUGAUUCUCCUAUGAUACAAUUUUUUUCUGUAUCUGUCUUUUCCAUGAAUCAUCUGCUUGUUUGCUUGUCUUGCUUUCUAGCCCAUUUUGAAGGCUGGAGAUGAAAUAGACGAACCAAGUGAGAGAGAACGGCUCCGAACAGUUUUAAAGAGACUGGGAAAGCUCAGGUGCAUGCGCGAGGUAAGAGCCCAGGGACAGUGUCUCCUUCUGCCUGGAGUCUUGAAUCAAUGUCUUUCUGUUAUUUUGUUCCAUUUCUUCUCUCUUGUAGACCUGGUUCUGUGUCCUCUUACAGCGUAAGAGUGGCUCCUGCUUUUCCAGCUGUUUUGAAUUCAUUAGUAGCUCUUUAUUUUCUUUCUCAUCUCCACAAACUUAUUUCCCCCUUCUUUCCCUUUGUUCAAAGGAGUUUCUUUACCAUCCUUUUUUAGUGUGAUGAAAAGGAUCUUAGUAUUCUCACUGUGAGGAGCUUUGCCAUUGCUGGGUGUAUGAUACUGGGGUGGAGUCGAGUCACAGACCAGAGAGGAAGCUCUGCCACAGGGGAGACACACGGAUCCAGUUUACUGAAUGCCAACUAAACUGAUUGACUGUCACGGUUGGUGGUGGACAGGACAGGCGUUCGGCCAGGCACAAGGGCCAAGGAAAGGUUGUGCCAACGGGAAGUGUUGGAGAGGGUCUAGUGAUACCAGAGGAUCUAUUUACGUGAGGUGGUGGUUGAAUGCUUUGUGGCUGUUGAGAAAUUGAGAAAUCAUGUCAAAAGAUGUAAGAUUAUAGUUCAGGCCUUUCUCCUGUGUUCAGAGUUGCUCUAGUAGCUUCACCAGCAUCAUGGGAUAUCUGUACCAUGUCAGAAAAUGUGGCAAAGGGGCUGCAGAGCUGGAGGAGAUGACCCUGAAAUGUCACCACUGUGGAAAGCCAUAUAAAUCGAAGGCUGGACUUGCGUAUCACCUGAGGUCAGAGCAUGGGCCUGUGAGUACUGAUUACUUUCCAGACCCUGUUUGGGGAUCUGUUUUUUGGGGACUCCUUACUCCGACAUCUUCCCAUACAUCCGCUGUUCCUUAUUUGUAUCCCCUUUUAAUCUUUGAAUACUUUUGUUUUCCUUUCCUUAUUUUUCCUUGGUUCUCUUAUUUCUGCCUUUUGAACAUAAUUAGGUUAGAGAAAUCAAAGUUCAGCGUGUAAUCUGUGCAGAAGUAAACUCAUUAUUAUACUUUUAAAGUUUAAGGCAUUCCGAUUUAGCUAGAAAUUUUGUGGAAAUUUCUGUCCGGCUGGUUCUUCCAUUCCAAUUUUUUUGUCUUGAUUUUUUUCCCCCUUGAUUACAUUUCUAGGCUUCCCCCAUCUCAUGUUUCUUUUUAGAAUUCAGUUUCAAGGUAUAAUUUACAUAUGAUAAUUAACGUUCACCCUUUUAAUUUUUUAAUUUUUAUUUUUUUUAAUGUUUAUUUUUUGAGAGCGAAGACAGUAUGGGGGGGUGGGCGGAGAGAGAGAGGGAGGCACAGAAUCCGAAGCAGGCUCCAGGCUCUGAGCUGUCAGCACAGAGCCCGAUGCGGGGCUCGAACUCACGAACUGUGAGAUCAUGACUUGAGCUGAGGUUGGACGCUUAACCGCCUGAGCCACCUAGGCGCCCCAAUAUUCACCCUUUUUAGUGUGCAGUUACGAGUUUUGACAAAUACAUAGUCAUGUAGUCACCACCACAAUCAAGAUAUAGAACGAUUUGACCACUGAUUUAUUUUCUGUCCCUAUAGUUUUGCUUUUUUCACAAUGUCCUAUAAAUGGAGUCAUACGAUAUGUAGCCUUCCUUUUGAGUCUGGCUUCUUUCACUUAGCAUAAUACAUUUGAGACUCAUCCAUGUGUUGCAUGUAUCAUUAAUUUAUUUUUUUUUAUUUCUGUCUAGGAUUCCAUUGUAUGGAUGUUUCACAGUUUCUUUAUCCAUUCAUCAGUUGAAGAACAUUUGGGUUGUUCCCAUAUUUUGGCAAUUAUGAAUAAAGUUACUAUAAACAUUCACAUAAAAGGCUUUUGUGUGAAAAUAAAUUUUAAUUUCUCUUGGGUAAAUACUUAGGAAUGGGAUAGCUAGGUCAUAUGAUAAAUGUGUGUUUACCUUUAUGAGAAACUGCCAAACUCUUUUUCAGAGUGGCUGUACCAUUUUGCAUUCUCACUAGUAAAAUAUGACAAUUCCAGUUGCUUUGUAUCCUUGUUAGGAUUUGCUAUUGUUAAUUUCAUUUUUUUCUUAGUCCAUUCUACUAGGUAUGCAGUGGUAUUUCACUGAAGUUUAAAUUUGCAUCUCCCUAGUGACUAAUGACAUUGACCAUCUUUUCAUUUGUUUAUUGGCAAUGUCAGUUGUUAGUGAAGUAUCUUCUUUUUUGAAGUGGCCAUUGAAAUCCUUUAUUAUUGGAGUUUUGUUGUCUUACUAGGAAGUUUUGAGAAUAUUCUGAGUUUUUUAUAUAUUUUGGACAGAAGCCCUUCAUUAGAUACAUGUUUUGCAAAUAUUUUCUCCCAGUCUAUAGUUUGUCUUUUCAUCUAUUUACAGUGUUCUAAAUUUUUUUAUAAGUUUAUUUAUCUUGAGAGGGAGAGAGAGCACCCAAGCAAGGGAGGGGGAGAGGGAGAGAGAGAAGCCCAAGCAGGCUCUGCUUAGUGUGGAGCUUGAUGUGGGGCUUGAUCUCACAGCUGUGAGAUCAUGACCUGAGCUGAUAUCAAGAGUCAGAUAGAUGCUCAACCAACUGAGACACCCAGGCACCCCUAUAGUGUUUUUCAAAGAGCAUAGUUCUUAAGUUCGAUUUAUCAUUUUUUCCUUUUAUGGGUAAUGCUUUUUUUGUUGUUGUUUCUAAUAUCUCUUUGCCCAACCCAGUUUUCUUUUCUUUUCUUUUCUUUUAAAUGUUUUUAUUUAUUUUUGAGAGAGACAGAGUGUGAGUGGUGGAGGGGCAGAGAGAGAGAGAGAGAGGGAGACACAGAAUCUGAAACAAGCUCCAGGCUCUGAGCUGUCAGCACAGGGCCAGAUACGGGGCUUGAACUCAUGAACUGUGAGAUCAUGAACUGAGCCACCCAGGCACCCCCCAACCCAAUUUUCUAUUGCUGCUAUAAAAAAUCACAAGGGGGCCUGGGUGGCUCAGUCGGUUGAAUGUCUGACUUUGGCUCAGGUCAUGAUCUCACAGUUCUUGGGUUCCAGCCCUGCAUCUGAGCUGUCAGCACAGAGCCUGGAGGCUGCUUCUGAUUCUGUGUCUUCCUCUCUCUCUGCCCCUUCCCCACUCACACUCUUGUCUCUCUCUCAGAAAAUAAAACAUUUAAAAAAAAUCACCACAGAAUUAAUGGCCUAAAUAACACAACUGUAUUGUUUCAGUGUGUUAGGCCCGAAGUCCAGGGAUAGCACAGCUCAGCUGGCUCCCCUGUGUAGGACCUCACCAGGCUGGCAUCAAAAUGUCAGUAGGACUGUUCCUUUUUGGAGGCUCAAGGGGAGAAUCUGUUUUGAGGCUCGUUAAAAUUAAGACUUGAGUUCCAUGCAGUUAGUUGUAGGACCUCAUUUCCUUGCUUGCUGUAGGCCGAGAGUUGUUCUCUGGUUAUGAAGGCCAUCUAUGUUCCGUGGCUUGUGGUCCCUUCCUCUUCAAGUCAGCAGCAGUAUCAAGUCUCUCUCACACUCUGAAUCUCUCCUGCCUUUUCUUCUGUCGCACCUCUCUUACUUAAAAUCAACUGAUUCUGGACUUUAAUUAGAUCUACAAAGUACCUUCACAGCAGCACAUAGAUUAGCGUUUAAUUGAAUAACUGAUGACUGUAGCCUAGCCAGGGUGACACAUCAAAAAACCAUUACACCCAGGAUUACAAAAAUGUCCUCCCUUUGUUUCUUCUAGAAGUUUUAUAGUUACGUGGUUUACAUUUCAUUUUGAGUUAAUUUUUAUAUGUAGUAUGAGAUAGGAAUGGGUUGAGGUUCAUGUCUUUGCACAUGGCUAUGUCUUGACCUUUACUUAUUAAAAUAGAAUAGACUUCACCCUAAGAAAUUUUUUAUAUUAGUAAAAUACGCAUGAAGGUGGUAGAGCUUUAUGCUAGUGGUUAGCAAGCCAGUGAAGAGCUUUUGAUACUUAGAGCAGGAAGGAUAGCCCUUAAUCAUUGGCUUUGAUGGAAGCCACUUCUCAGGCCUGUGUUUUGCUAUGUCUCAUUCUUGCAGAUCUCAUUCUUUCCAGAGUCAGGACAGCCAGAGUGCUUAAAGGAGAUGAGCCUGGAGCCAAAGAGUGGGGGUCGAGUUCAGAGGCGUUCUGCCAAGAUAGCUGUGUACCACCUGCAGGAGCUGGCUUCUGCUGAACUGGCCAAGGAAUGGCCUAAGAGGAAGGUGCUUCAGGAUUUGGUGCCUGAUGAUCGGAAGGUAAAGUAGAAAUUUGCGUUAAUUUUGAACCAUGUCUGAUGUUGUGCUUAGUACAUACGGAAAAGUAAAUGCACUUGAGUACGUGAUAAACAGUAUGUUGCUUCUUUUUUUUUUAAAUUAAUUAAUUAAUUAAUUUUAUUUUUUUUAAAAUAUAUGAAAUUUAUUGUCAAAUUGGUUUCCAUACAACACCCAGUGCAUCCCAAAAGAUGCCCUCUUCAAUACCCAUCACCCACCCUCCCCUCCCUCCCACCCCCCAUUAGCCCUCAGUUUGUUCUCAGUUUUUAAGAGUCUCUUAUGCUUUGGCUCUCUCCCACUCUACCCUCUCUUUUUUUUUUUUUCCUUCCCCUCUGCAUGGGUUCCUGUUAAGUUUCUCAGGAUCCACAUAAGAGUGAACACAUAUGGUAUCUGUCUUUCUCUGUAUGGCUUAUUUCACUUAGCAUCACACUCUCCAGUUCCGUCCACCUUGCUACAAAGGGCCAUAUGUCAUUCUUUCUCAUUGCCACAUAGUACUCCAUUGUGUAUAUAAACUACAAUUUCUUCAUCAGUAUGUUGUUUCUUAAUCCUUAGAGAUGGAGUAUGUCUGAUCCAGCUUCAGUGUUUGGAUUCAUAUGGGUCCUAGAGAGACCGUCUGUUUCAGAAAUUCCUUAAGGAACCCUCUUAAUUUUGAACUGCUUCUGGAGGGAAUCCGAAUUCCCAGAUUAGUCUUUUUUAUUAGUCUUUGUUUCCACUUUGUUAGUUUUUUGUUAGUCUUUUGUUAGUCUCUGUUUCCACUUUGUUAAUUUGUAUGUAGUAGUUUAUAUUUAGUUUAGAUAAAUGAUUUCAGUUUGUUUUUCUAGCAACAGAACUCCUCUCCCCACCCACUCUUUUUUUCCAAAUGAAAAUUAUAUAAAACACCAAUAUGUAGAAUAACUUAAAAUAGAGUCGCUGGGGUGCCUAGGUGGCUCAGCUGGGUAAGUGUCCAACUUCAGCCAAGGUCAUGAUCUUAUAGUUUGUGAGUUUGAGUCCCAUGUUGGGCUAUCUGCUGAUAGCUCAGAGCUUGGAGCUGCUUCGGAUUCUGUGUCUCAUUCUCUCUCUGCCCCUCCCCUGCUCAUGCUCUGUCUCUCUCUCUCUCUCUCUCUCAAAAAUAAAUAUUAAAAAAAAAAUUAAAAAUGGAGUUUCUCUAUGUAACUAGGGGUAGUGAGCCCAAAACUUUGCUUACUUGGCCUUCUCCUUGAUACUUUUAUCAUUCCUUCCAUGGCCCCAAGUGUACUUCUCAGGGUUACAGAAUCUAGCUUAGAAGCCUUUGGUUUAAAAUAGAUCAUAGACCAAAGGAACAUAUUUGGCCAAGAGGAGAUAAGGAGUAUAUGACUAUGGGGUAGUCAUGGGAAGGGCUUGGGAGGAUAUACGAGUAAAGAUUAAGGUUAGAGCUGAGGACCUGUUACUCUCCAUGGUAUCAAGAAAGAUAGUUUAGAUUUGGCCUAGGGCUUUGACUCAUGAGGGGAAUGUCAUAUAUUAUAAGAAAAUGUCAAUUCGUGGAAGUGGAUACCUUUUAUUUGGUCUAAAAAUCAGUCCUACUGGUGUCCAAGGAGUUGGAUCCUGUUCUUGAGUAUCAGAGCAUCCUUUUUUGUUUCAGACUCAUUGCUACCUUUUUCCUGCCACAGGCUAAAGUAUGUGGUUAUCUAAAUUCAGUUUAAAUGUGAAUUUUGUACAGUGGUAUGUAUCUUAUGAUAUUGUAGUCCGUUUGCUUUCACUGUGUUGAUCGGUGGUAGGGAAUUAGACAUAAAUAUUUGUUAACUGAUUGAUAAGGUUUGCUAGUCUUAUCUAGCAGAUACUCUCCUAAAAUCAUCAGUUUUAUAGUUUGACAUUGUGUAGGUUAAAGGCAUUAUUAUUUUGUUUUGUUUUAAACUAAAAAUUUAAUUGGAAUAGAUAAUAUAUUCUUGUUCAGAAGUCAAAAUGAUAAUAAACAUUGAGAUACCUCAGUCUCACCCCAUCCUUGUUCUAGCCUGUAUCCAUGGUAACCAUUCUUACUGGUUUCUUGUGUGUCCUUCCAGUGUUUUUUAAUGCAAAUACAAGCAAUAUGGUCUAGGAAAAACUCUUGUGUUUUCUUUUACUCACAUACUACUACACACUUAACACUUCUGACACCAGAUGUGUGGUUUUUUCCCACACAGACUAAUUUUCUAACACCACCUGCGUGUCCUACAAUUUAAUUCAGUCCUGACACUAUCUACCUGGAGUUAGUGUCAGGUCCACAAGUUAAGGGCUCAGUCUCACAGGACUGUUCCAAUUUCAGGUGCCAGUCACAAGUCCCAGGUUGUCAUCUGUACUUCUGACUGACUGGGCUAAAAAUUGGGGUUCCCAUGCUCCCCUCCUUGGUUUCAGUAAUUUGCUAGCAUGGCUCACAGAACUCAGGGCAACGUGUUUACUGGUUUGUUAUAAAGGAUAUAAUAAAAUCUGCAGAUGAACAACCAGAUGAAGAAAUACAGAGUGAGGUCUAGAAGAGUCCCCAGCAUAGGAGCUCCUAUCCCUGUGGAGUUGGAGGUGUAUCACCCUCUUGGCGCAUAUAUAUACUCUCUGAACCCCAUAAUUUUGGGAUUUUUAUAGAGGCUUCAUCACAUAGGCAUGAUUGAUUAACUAUCCCUAGCCCCUUUCCCUCUCUAGAGAAUGGGGAAUGUGUCUGAAAGUUCAAAGCUUCUAAUCAAGGCUUGGUUUUGCCAGUGGCUAGCCCACCGAGGAGCCCACAGAGUAUUACCUCAUCAAAACAAAAGAUACUCCUAUCACCCAGGAAAUUCCAAGGGAUUUAUGAACUCUGUCCAAAUACUGGUAUUACUCAGAAAAUUAGUAGGUGUUUUAGGAACUCUCUAUCAGGAACCAGGUUCAGAGACUGAGUAUUAGCAGGAACUGAGGGCAGAGACCAAUAAAUAUUUUUUCUUGUUUCACAAAUAUAUAUUCCUUUCUUUUAAAUGUUUCCAUUUAUUUUGAAAGAGAGAGCACAUAAGCUGGGCAAGGGCAGAGAGAGGGAGAGACAGAAUCCAACACAGGGCUCGAACUCACAAACCGUGAGACCAUGACCUGAGCUGAAAUCAAGAGUCAGAAGCUUAACUGACUGAGCCACCGAGACACCCCUAUAUUCCUUUUUCAAAAAUCUUUUUAUUUGGAAAUAAUUUUAGACUUACCGAGUCUUUGCAAAAUUAGUACAGAGUUCCCAUAUGCUCUUUACCUGGCUUCCCCUAAUGCCAACAUCUUACAUAACCAAUAACAUAGGAUCCCAUCAAGAUCUCACAUUUAAUUCUCUUUACUGUGUCUCCUUAGUCUCCUCCCAUCUGUUAUCAUCCUUCUGGCUUUAUUGAUCUUUUGUGCUCUUGACACUUUUUUUUUUUUUAAUUUUUUUUUCAACGUUUAUUUAUUUUUGGGACAGAGAGAGACAGAGCAUGAAUGGGGGAGGGGCAGAGAGAGAGGGAGACACAGAAUCGGAAACAGGCUCCAGGCUCUGAGCCAUCAGCCCAGAGCCCGACGCGGGGCUCGAACUCACGGACCGUGAGAUCGUGACCUGGCUGAAGUCGGACGCUUAACCGACUGCGCCACCCAGGCGCCCCUGACACUUUUGAAGAGAACAGGCUCGUUGUUUUGUAGAAUAUCCCUAAUAUGGAUUUGUCUAGUGUUUGCUCAAGAUUAGAUUGAAAGUUACAUGUUUUUGUCAAGAUUACCACUGAAGCAGUGUUUGCCUUUCUCAAUGUACCAUAUUAGGAGGUAUAUGAUGUUGAUGUGUCUUUUUUACCAGUGAUCACUUUGAUCACUUGAUUAGGGUGUAUUGUCCAGUUUUCUCCAAGGCAAAAUUACAGUUUUCCUCUCUGUAAUUAGUGAACAUUUUGUGGGGAUAGUGACACUGUGCAACUACCCUGUGUCUUAUCAUACCUCUGCCCACUUGCUGUAGCAUCUGUCAGUGAUUCAUUCUUGCCUGCAACAGUUAUUAUUAUGGUUGUUUGCCUAAUGAUGGUUUGUGUUUCCAUUACUUCUUCCAUAAAUUAUUAAUUGAAAUUCUGUGAGAAAAUACGUCCUUUUUUUCUCUUAAUCUAUUUAUAUCAGUAUGGACUCAUGGAUAUUUUAUUGUAGGUGUAUAAUCCAGUGCUAUUAUUAAUAUUCAUUUUUUGGCUCAAAUUGUUCCAGAUUUGGCCAUCAAGAGCUCUUUGCAGUGGGCACCUGUGCCUUUUUGACAUACUUCUAUCAUUUUUUUGAGUACUCUUUGACAACAUAAGGUGCUGUAGAGUCAUCUUGUGUAUUCCCUUCCCCCGCCCUGGAAUCAACCAUUUCUCUAAAGAAUGCUGGUUUCUUUUAUUGGAGAAUAUACUUAAAAAACAAGAUUUGAGGGGCGCCUGGGUGGCGCAGUCGGUUAAGCGUCCGACUUCAGCCAGGUCACGAUCUCGCGGUCCGUGAGUUCGAGCCCCGCGUCGGGCUCUGGGCUGAUGGCUCAGAGCCUGGAGCCUGUUUCUGAUUCUGUGUCUCCCUCUCUCUCUGCCCCUCCCCCGUUCAUGCUCUGUCUCUCUCUGUCCCAAAAAUAAAUAAACGUUGAAAAAAAAAAUUAAAAAAAAAAACAACAACAAGAUUUGAAUGCUGGGUGUACUCAUUCCUGCUGGGGUGUCAUUGCUUCUGGGCCCUCUUGGUGGCUAGAACUAGGAUAUAUAUGUAUGUCUACUCGUAGAUGAAAACACACACUCUGUGUUCAUUUUUAUGUCUGUCUGUAUACAUAUUUAAAGCCAUGAUACCUUCACUUCCAGUCCAACACCACAAGUUUCAUUCUUGCCUUCCUUUGUGCUUAUUUGUAACUCCUUUCUCUAACAGUAGGAAAACCUAGCUCUCACUGUUUGUAAUGUAUUUAUUUAUUUGCUUAGUCCUAGUAUAACAUAAAGUAGUUUUACAAUUAUUAAGCCAUACCCCUGUAAAAACAGGUUUAUUAGCUGCAGAAGAAUAUUUGUAUAUCGUUCUUUACAUCUUCAGCCUUACAGUAUAUAGUCAAAGUACUGUUUUAUUUUUUUUUUUAACUUACCUAUUUAUUUUGAGAGAGGGAGAGAGAGAGAGAGUGAGGGAGGGGCAGAGAGAGAGGGAGAAAGAGAAGUCCAAGCAGGCUCCACACUAACAUGAACUGUGAGAUCACGACCUGAGCCAAAGUCAGAUGCUCCACUGACUGAGCUUCCCAGGCGUCCCUCAAAGUAUUAUUUUACGGUUAUUUAGAUUGGCUUUCUCCCUCGCUCCCUUCAUUAUGCUUCUCAUUUGUAAUCCUUAGGUUCAUGUGUUACUUUUCUUUACAUUUUGAGUUCCCCUACAUCCUGUUUAAUUGAAACUAGUCAUUUCUCUUGGGGGGUAUGUGAAACAUUACCAUAGUUCUAAAAGUCAGACCCCAUACAAAAGGUCGUCUUAUAGAAGGGUCACUGCCCUCUUCCCAGCUUUCCCAUUCUGAAUACCCUUUUGUUUCCAUCCUGUCCCCACCCUGCUCCCUGCAGAGACCACCACACUCAGUUUCUGCUUUGUCCUUCCUGUAUUUUUAUGGGCUAGAUGACCAGAUACAUGCAUAUUUUCGUACAUCUUUUUCUUUCUCACAUAGAUACUCUUUUGUAAUUUGCUUUAUUUCACUUAAAAGUGUAUCCUGGAAAUCACUCCAUAUGUGUUCUUAGAGAUUAUCCUCAUUUCUUUUUUUUACAGCUGCGUAAACAUGAUAGUUUAUUAUAUGAAUAUAAUAUAAUAGUUUAUGCAAAUAUUCUCUUAUCGCUGUAAAAGGAUUUUAGAUGGACCUGUAUACCCUAGCUGCAGAAGAGAGGGGUGCUUAUAAAUAAAGCCAGCUCUGUGCUCUGAUUCCUCUUAUAGAUUUAGCGGAGUUCCUUUAGGCUGCCUUCCUUAUUUCCCCUUACCUCUGGGUUUUGGUUCUGUUUUUCUGUCUCAGAAAGAGCAUCAGCUUCUUUUCAGAUACUUCCAUUUUCCAAGCAGGAGGAUUGUUUACUCACUGGAAAUACAGCUAUUACUUGUGGUGGACUUUGUAAGAACUGUCUCUACAGGUGCUAGCUGUCUCUUUUCUGGAAACUAUAGUAGUUGUAAGAAGAGACUAACUUAGGGGCACCUGGCUGGCUCAAUUGGUGGAGCAUGUAACUCUUGAUCUUGGGGUUGUGAGUUCGAGCCCCACGUCGGGCUCUAAAUAAAUAAAUAAAUAAAUAAAUCUAAAGAAAAGAGAGAGAGAGACUAACUUGGGUCAAGCAUGUGAAGGCAAGUGUGAGGAAUAAUUUUGCUUGUGCAGUAUAAGUAAAAAUCAUGUGUUCCAUCCCCAAGUUCUCUCACAUCUUUGUUUUAGGUUGAACCUUAAUUUCUUUGAGUUUUUUUUAAAUGUUUAUUUUUGAGAGAGAAAAUAGAGAGAGACAGAACAUGAGCAGGGGAGGGGCAGAGGGAGACAGAAGGGAGACAGAAUACAAAGCAGGCUCCAGGCUCUGAUGAGCUGUCAGCACAGAGCCUGAUACGGGACUCGAACUCACAAACCACGAGAUCACGACCUGAGUCGAAGUCGGAUGCUCAAUUGACUGAGCCACCCAGGUGCCCCUGAAUUUUUUAAAUACCAAAAAUUAACAUGACACCUUUGAAGAAAAAGGAGAAAUGCAGAUAAGCAGGGAAAAAUCAUUAAAGCUACUCAAAAUUCUACCACCCAGAGAGGACUACUGUUAACAUUUUGAUGUAUAGCCUUCUAGCUUUUCCCCCAUCUACAUAUAUUUCUGUUGCAUAUGUUGUAUAUAUAUGUGUAUAUAUGUACCAUAUUUAUGAAUAUACCUAUAUUUUACAGUACAUAUUUGUAUCUUUGUCUUUUUCGUAAUGAGUAUUUUAACUGUGUAAAUGCUCUGUCACUAGCUUUUUAAAACUGUAGAUGAAGUGCUAUAUCUGAAAGUCUCUUCUCCUGCCCUCUGUUAAAAAUCAAAACUAUUCUAAGAUUAAAAAACAGACAGUUAUACUUACCAGUUUCAGAUAAAUUUGUAUUUAAAGGGUCUUACAUACUAUAAUACUUUUGGCACAUGAAAAUAUGUUUGUCAGACUCCAGAAUUACAUAACCUAAAGAGUUGGGUAUGAACCUUUUGGGGUAUUUUGGUUGGAAGUUGGAUUCCUCCAAUAAAAUAUUUCUUGUCUUGUAGUUAAAAUAUACUCGCCCUGGGCUUCCUACCUUCAGCCAGGAAGUACUACACAAAUGGAAGUCAGAUAUCAAGAAAUAUCAUCGCAUUCAGUGCCCUAACCAGGUGGUUCUUUCUCAUUCAUUUUUUCAGUAAAUGUUUAUCAAGUUUAUCAAACUUCUGUCUCAGUUACUGAUUCCUUCAUGACAAAGUUAUCUGAACCUUAGUGGCUUAAAACAUUAGUUAUUUUAUUUGUUCAGAAUUCUGUGAGUCAGUAAUUCUGUCAGGGCUCAGAGAACCUUCUCCUGCUAAACAUGGCGUCAGCUGGGAUCACUCAUGGGUUGUAUUCAGCUGCAAGCUCAGAUGGGACCUGAACGUCCAAGAUAGCUUCUGUGCAGCUAAUUGAGCUGGGAGCUUCGCUCUCCACGUGGCCUCUCUGUCCAUGAGGUUGUAGUGGGUUACCAGCAGGGUACAUGGCAACUGACUUCUUAGAGUGUUCCAAGAACAUGCAGAUGAAAGCUGUAGAUCUCUCAGGCCUAGCUUCAGAAUUUGUUCAGCAAUAUUUCCAUGGCAUUCUAUUGGUCAAAGGAAUCACAGGGUUAACCCAGAUUCAAAGGGAGGGUGAAUAGACUCCUCUUCUUACAGGGAAGAGUGGCAGAGAAUUUCCAUUAUUUCUUUAAUCCACCACAGCUGUAUAUGCAGUACUUUGGGAAGGAGGAUAUCUACCAGAAACAGGAGACAUAUUUAUACUGAAGAAGGCAGAUUAAAAAAAAAAAAAAAAAUCCAACCAUGCAAGUUUCUGUUUCUCUAAAAGUCAGAGAAAAAGUAUCAGGGAAGGGAAUAUCUUAAGCCCUUCUUUUUUUAAAAAAAUACCUUUUCAUGGUUUUCCUUUUUCCUUUUGUGGCUUGUGUCUGAAUUUUUUCUGUUUGGUUUGUAGUACAAUUUAUUGGGCUUCUUCCUCUAAAUGUAGGGUUGGUCAGUGUGAACGGCCAGAUUGCUAAGAGAAGGAUGAGGUUUGGUAUAAUCUUUACAUUAUUUCUUCUUCUCUCUUUCAGGGUUGUGAGGCUGUCUACAGUAGUGUAUCAGGCCUUAAGGCUCACCUGGGCUCUUGUACCUUGGUUUGUAACUUUCUGAAUGCUUUAUCUUAAUGUGAUCUCUCAAACAAAAGUCUGACAUGGAAGAGAAUUCAGUUUAGGCGAACAGCUAGUCACCCUGUUUACUGUUAAGUUCAGAGGCUUGUUUAGUUUUUUAUGUCCUAAAGAUUCUUUAUCUGGUAUUGGAUGGGAUGUCCUGAUAUGUCCAAGAUAUAGAAGAAGCCAACAUAGCCUUAAGUCUUAUCAAUUAAAAAAGUUGGAGGAAAAGUAUUAUUAUUAGUUUUGAGUCUAUAUCAGGGAGGUAACUUUUUCUACCUGAGUCUGUCCUGCCCUGGACCUGCCCUGUUUAUUGGGCCUUAAAAUUUCUAGAAUCAGUUUACAUGUGCUUAUCUGGAUGAUGAAGAUCCUCUAAUCCCACCUGAAUUAUAUAGCCUCUGGGGAUGGGAGGUAGAUGCUAGCCCUGGGUGUCAGGCAAACAGAUAUUCACCUCACUGCAUCUUUUCUGUGUUGACCCAGGUGCCCUCUGACUCACAGACAUGGGGACUGCUGCCACUUUUUAAUUCCAUUCAGAAAUAUCUCCUCACACAAAAUUAGCACCAUGGACACUCAGAGCUUCAGGAGGGGAGAGAAACCUCAGUUCAAAGCAGCAAGGGAGUGUAGGCAUCCAACCCAGAUCUGGCCACAAGUGCUUAGGAGUUUGUCAUCAUGAUCUUAGUUUCUGAGUCCUUAAACUAGGCAUUAUGGACAAUACACCUCUAAUUCUGGAUUUGCAAGGCACUCUUUAGAGCAGUGGAUUAUAGUGGGAAGAAUUAUACAUUGGUGCCUCUGGUGAACUUCAGGAGUUUGAUCAUGUGGGAAGAGGAACCAAGAGAAUCUGGAAGUGAAGUGACAGAAACUAGGGAAGAUAGAAAAGGGUGAUUGGUUACAUAAUAAAAGUAGGAAUACUUUAGGUUGUGUUGAGGGGGUGGGGGUAUUAUGUAUAGAACUAUAUUAGGAUAGAUUUCUAGUGGUAAUAGUCUGCCUAAAUCUGGUUUUCCCAAGUAUAUUGCUGUAUUGGAUUUUCUUCCUUCUUACCUUUGCUGAAGUAAAAUCCCCUCUUUUCAUCUCUAACAAUCCCCACACACGGCCCAGGUACGUGUUCCUGAAUUUACCAGUAAUUCCCUUUUCUUUCUCUCUUGAAAACAGGGAAACUUUGUGGCUGGAAAAUACAAGUGUCUUCUGUGUCAAAAAGAAUUUGUGUCAGAGAGUGGUGUCAAGUAUCACAUCAACUCUGUCCAUGCCGAGGUGAGGUCCCUGCUUUUCCCAUCA
Molecule: long non-coding RNA, 28015 nt
Filed under: Lynx pardinus (Iberian lynx)
Lineage: Eukaryota; Metazoa; Chordata; Mammalia; Carnivora; Felidae
Source: RNAcentral